AUGGAUGUGGAUAUGGAUAGAAACAUGUGUUAUGUGAGCGCAUAUGUAGUUGUUGGGUGUUACACCAACAUUCAAAACAAUCCAGAAUCAACAACGAAUUCACCAUGCUAUUUAAUUCCAAUGCCAAGAGGACUUGAAGAGCAUGAGAGUUCAUCACUAACCUUAAGUGGGUCUAGUUGUUGCCACGUGGGCAUGGCAUGGCCGCUCUUUCUAUUUUCACAUAUGUAUUUUUCUGACAACCUUUCUAUUUUCACAUGUAGUUACACUGCCCUUGAUAUUUUUUCUUUUGCGGGCGGUCAGUUACACUACCCUACAAAAGCGAGUAAUUUGCUAGGCUACCAUACAAAAAUUGGUAAUUAG
This 360-nucleotide ribosomal RNA is filed under the name Triticum aestivum (bread wheat). Its description in RNAcentral is "partial small subunit ribosomal RNA". The record is from RNAcentral. Lineage: Eukaryota; Viridiplantae; Streptophyta; Magnoliopsida; Poales; Poaceae.